Molecule: transfer RNA, 75 nt
Filed under: Orientia tsutsugamushi str. Gilliam
Lineage: Bacteria; Pseudomonadati; Pseudomonadota; Alphaproteobacteria; Rickettsiales; Rickettsiaceae
Description: tRNA-Gly
Rfam family: tRNA
About the family: Transfer RNA (tRNA) molecules are approximately 80 nucleotides in length.
Source: RNAcentral
GCGGAUGUAGCUCAGUGGUAGAGCAUUACUUUGCCAAGGUAAAAGUCGUGGGUUCAAUUCCCAUCAUCCGCUCCG